UGUUAGGAAAGGAAUGUAUGUGUGCCUCAAGUUGAGUGGGGUUCCAGCUUACCAAGCUAUCCUUAUGAUUGCCUGCCUGUAAUCCCUAUGAAUACCAGCGCUGUAAAUCUCAGAGACAAGGCUGGCCAUCUGACCAGACGGACAAGACUUAACUUUGGAAUGAUCAACUGCUUUUGUUUCUCCUUGUACAAUCUGCUGACUGACAAGAAGAAAUUUUGUCAGUGUGUACUGGAAGAGAUUAGCUUCUGUGGUAUCUAAUGGCUGCCGUGGGCAAAGCGAGAAUUGCUGUCUAUCCCCAUGACGGAGCACUGGGUAAAGGUCAUGUCUACAAGUGAUGCCUUCAACCAGGGCCACCCUGGCCAAGAGUGCAGAUGGCAGAAAAUGAUCUUUGCAUCCAGGCAUAAAGCACUGUGACUGUCUACAGCUGUGUGUCCUCAGGCGUCUCUCCUCAGUCGGGCGUGAUGGAUGGAGAAAGCUACCUCGAGUGGACUUGACAACGGACUUGGGUCAGGAGACCUGACUGGGGCUCAGGUCACCAGCAUCUGUUAACAAGGAGUGGAUCCUGCUCCAGCAGAGCCAUGACAUAACUGCAGAGCCAGUCAACGUUUUGCCAUCACAGUCUGGGUCCCCAGGCUGGUGCCGUGACAGUGGCCUUGUGACAGAGUCUACAGAAGGAGAUUCAGCAAGCCAUGACAGGAUUUCAGAUCCGUAGAGAUACUCCAGAACUCGGACUGACAAGCUGCCCAUACCUGGAACAUUGCAGCUAAUCCUGGAAGGAAGAGGGAAAGGUCAGCGCAAUGCAUUCUUGGAAAGCAUUUCCAUGGAAGGGCACUGCACAUGCAUCCUGAACCAUCUGGUGAACGAUGCACAUCCUCAGCUGUACUUUGGGUUUUGAACAAGUGUAUAACAAGCAAAAGUACAAAGAAUAAAUAGUAAGUAAAUAAAAACAACAGAUAGAGGGCAAAGCAUUAUCAAAUCAGGCACUCACAGCAGGCAAUAGACAUGAUCAGAGUAGUCUGAUGAAGAGCAAAUUAAAGGCAACACCAUCAAAUCAGGAGGUUCCAAACAUACAGUAGAAAUCAGCUGGGGAAGUCGAGGCAGUUGGCUGGAGUUUCCAACUGAGCUGUCUCUCCAUGGACAGGCAUCCCAUGGCUGGACCUGAGCUUCUGGUUCCCAGUGCAUCAUGGGAUAAACAAUAGUAGCCUCUGUUGGGAAUGGUUUGCAUCCUAGCUGCGCUCCAGGACACGGUGUUUUUGUUCUCUGGCUGUUUUGCUUCUCUCUUCCCUCAUUCGCUGAACAGUUGGGAGCGGGCAGCCCCUCCCCGGAUAAGGGGUCUUAGAGGAUACUUUGAGACAAACAUGCUUGGUAUGAGAUGGUGGGGGUACAGGGCAUGGGGAGAGACAACCCAGCUUCUUAGCGAGCUCAAACCGCACAUGAGAAUUUACUAACACAAUGGACAUGACAACAUGUCUGCUUAGUAUUGUGUUGGCCAAAGCUAGUCCAGAGGAGUUCCGGGACGCCAUCAGGCACCAAGCGUGAUGGACCAUGUACUCACGCACUGGGUCAGAGGCAUGGCCGUCACAGACUCCCAUGAUGUACAAAGAGAAGGACCAGCUUGCAUUUCAUGUGGAUGGAUGUAGAGGCCCUAGAGCCUAAGACAGUACGACUGAAGAGCUAGCUUUCCUAGAGAAGGGUCAAAAAUUAAGAGGGGCUGAGGCAAUAGAGAAACCGAGGUUUUACUAUCCCGAUAAUCUUCACUGUCACUUCCCUGAAGUGAAAUGAAAACAGUGCAUUCUCAUGUCAGUGGCAUCUUCAAGACACGUCCCCUGGUACACCUUCUGAUUGGUUGAAUUGCUUCCCCUAAGCCCUUUAAGCUUCUUCUAUAUAGAAAGAAUAAUCCCGUUCAUAAAGUUAAACGGGGCUCUCCAACUGUCUCACAGCAAUAGAUUAGUAGGAGGAAAGAAAGGUUAAGGACCUCGGGCAUGCCUGCAGUUAUCCAGGCUUCCAUCUUCUCAGAGUCCACUCUAAUCCCAUCUUACUGAGGCAUAAACACAGCCCCCAGGGGCUUCCUGAAAAAGUGGGAGGAGCCAAAGGAACGGCCCCUGGUGCAUCCAUCCCAGAGGUCUUGCCAGCCUGGUUUUGGAGAGGCUAGUGAUGAGAAGUACAGAGACAGGAAAGCCAGCACAUUUACAUGCAGAGCAGAAGUCAGGACUUCUUAAUCAGGUAAGCCAAACCAACAUGAUGAAUUCAUUGCUUAAUCCUGAACCACACUAACCUGCCGAGGCACAGCAGACAUACGUCAAGGCCAGAUCCUCUAAAAAAAAUGAAGGAGAGACUAGUUGGUAAUCCCUUUUCCUAUGAAAUAUACUUCUGCCCGUAGGCCCUGGGUGAUCUUUGCAUCAUGCCAGAUGGUAUUCGAUUUCUCUUGAGGUUAUAGUUUAUGUCAAAAGAAAUAGACUUCAUUUAGAUGAGUUCUGAAGGAAGCACAGGAGAGUCCCAGAGCGGUGGUUUUAACACUGGCCUCAGAUGCCUCGGCAGCCUGACCUCUGCCCAGCACAAGAAUGGCUUCUGUCGGGGCCAUCAGAAUAGUCUGGGGUUUGCUGUCGAGGAUGCUCUUGUGCUGGCUUUCUUCCCAUACUGUACCAUGGAGCAUGUGAGAGGACCUGAGCAGGUCUGGCAUCUGUGAAGCCCCCUACCCCACAAACAAAAGAAAGUGCAGAAAAAAGCCGUGGAAUAGAAGCUUGAAACCGGGCUGGAAUUCUUAGUUCUCAGUGACGGCAAUUUGUGCCCUUGGGAAAAUAUGUCGAUCUUAAAACUGAAAUGCAUUUAGUUGUCACAGGAACCACUAAGCGAGGCCAGCAUCAUCAUCUGUGCUCCUGACACUUUGCUGUGGAAACUGGCUAGCUGUCAAACAAUUUUAGCCCUCCUGCCGCACAUUUUUCCUGAUAGAAGGUCAAUAAUGCUGUUUCUAAAUGAUAACGUGGCCAUGCUUCCGAGCUGCCUGUGGAUCUUAUCGGUGAAAGCCUGCUUACCUCACUGAAGCUGUCAUCUCAUGCUGUCUACAGGCUGUCUCCCACCUCAUAGCACCUGACUUCCCAUGACACACCUGUGUAUGGGUGCUAUCACCAAUACUGGGAAUACAGAGGCAGUCAGAUGCCUUCUCUUCCUUCAAGGAGCUCUCUGUCCAGUGAGUGAGUUAGACAGACAAUUGCAGGAUGUAAUGUGUGAGAUGUGUUACUGAGUGUCUAUUGAGACAUCUCUGUUAUAGGCAAGGCAGACCCAGUAGCAUGAGGGAGCAGUAGAUACAGAAGAAUUUAGGAAAGAUGUGUCUUGACAUAUGUUUAUUUUUUUAAGUGUGCAAAGUAUAGCAGGUACGUGUGAGACACUCGGAGGGAUGUACAAUAAGUCAGAGACACAUGGUGGUUAUAUUUGUGUCACAAUGUUUGCACUCUGGACACAUGCCAACACUGAAUUUCUGAGCCCCUCUUUACUUGAGUGAGGCCACUUGACUAGUUUGGCCUCAUGAAUAGCAGGCAAAAUUGAAGAACCAGGGCCAGCGGAGGUGGCCCAGCAGGUGAAGAUGCCACUGCCUUACCCCCGAAUUUGAGGGCCCACAUGGCAGAAGGAAUUCUUACUAGUUGUCCUCUGGUCCCCAGUUGCUCAUUGUGGGACAUCACACACACACACACACACACACACACACACACACACACACACACACACACACAUAUAUAUAUACACAUACACACAGAGAAAAGUAGGUAGAUAAAUAAUUUUUUUGAAGUGAAGAAUCACUCUGAGCCCAUUCUAGCCCAUCCAAGACUGCCCAGCAUCUCCCUGAGACACCCCCCACCACACACAGCAAACCCAGCAAUUUUUAGAGAUGGGGCAUUGCUGUCCUUGCAUGACCAUGAUGAAGGGAACAAUCAACUCUUGGGACACAUGUCAGUCUUACGUGUGAAAAUGUAAUUGCAUUUUCCCCAAGUCACUGAGAUUUGAAUCUUCUUUUUAAAAGUUCUAUUUUUUGAGCAGAAUGACAUAAUCUGUUUCUCAAAUUCAGUGCAGAAUUGGCUGAUGUCCCUUCCUUGUAUCCACCAGGGACUACUUUCCUUAGGCUAAACAUCUUAGGUGAAAUCACUUGCUUUUAGUGUUAGCAUUUGACAAGUGGAGUUCUUUGGCUCACCUAUGCUCCUACCUUCCAUUCACUGGAUCCAAGUUUGAUGAUCUAAGAUAAGGAGAAGAAAAACUUAUUCCAUUGUUCAGAGCGGGGAGUAAUGCAGCUCCAUGCAGCUGGGGGUCAUAGGCUGUUCAUAGGUCAACAGGUUGUUAGAUGUAUUGUUAGGAUUGGAAUUUGUGCACAUAAAACAUUAGAAAAGGGGUGUGUGCAGAGCCCAAACCAAGUGGAAUCUCAGGCUACUAAACAAUUCCAUAGGUUUGUCUUCCUCACUUGCAGAUUAUUUUCUUCCAGGUAGUGAUGCAGAUGUUUGGACAGAACAUAGAAAAUAACAGUUCCUUUGGGAAGUUGUGAAUUGACAAUUGGUAAACAGAAGAUGCAUGUCAACAACCGUGAAUCUGUAAUGGGUGCAUGGGAAGUGUAGAGUAGACAGUGUAGAAAUAGAAGUGGGUGCCACCUUCGAGCUUACACAAGCAUUCCAGGGAGAGCAAGGUGAUGCCUAACUUGGAGAGAGUGAAGCGAAUUCAAGGGAAGACAAAGUCUCAAAAACAAGCAUUUAAGAAGUUAGCACGAUAAAGUUUUGCUGUUGAACAGUUGGAAGAAUGAGUGGAGAGAGGGUUAAUGGAUAACGAGGUGGUCUGACACUUAAACAGUAUGACUACCUAUCCUGAUCUGUAUGGGAAGAGAAAACACUCAAACUUUAAGAGAGAACUACAGGAGCUUGGAUGUGAGGGAAGCCAUCAUUUUGGUGUUUUUUUCUACCAUGACCUCAUUCAUCAUUCAACCUCUGGGGACUGUGAAGCUCUCAUUUAGUAACAUAGUCUAUACAUUUUCACUUAAAACAAAACAAAGCAGAACAAAACCCAGGCAAUCUGUCUUCUUGCCAAGUCACACCACAGAUAAUCAAUGUUUUUCAUUAUUAUUAUUGAAAAAAAGGUUCAAAACUCUAAGAGACAGAUAUGAAUAAGAAGGGUCUCAAGUUUGACAUUUUCUUCUCAGAACGCAGCAUGUCCUAAGUAGCUCUCUCUGGUGCUUGCUUCCCUGCUCUCCGCUGAUGAGAUUUCUGUACUUGAGGCUUCAGUGAGCAGACCUCCAGGCCUGCUCUCUCUCAGGAUAAGAGAGACUGGCCCUGUACACCUCUAUAGACAUAUGCUGUUUAUUGCUUUUCUUUUGUGAGGCGACCUGCUUUCUUUUUCUGUAUUUGGGAUGAGAAAUAGUGAUUAAUGCCAAUGAUCACUUUAAAAUUAUAUUUGAUAGUCAAAGAACUACAGGCAACCAAAGAUGAGAGUGGGGAAAAUAGUCCUCCCCAAUGAUGAGUCCACUAAACAUUGAUUAUCCAAUAUUAAGUGGUAAGUCCUAAAAUCAUGUAACUACAAGUAACACUAUAUGGACUGAGCAGCUUGUAUUUAUAUAUUUAGGCAUCUAUAACUUUAACACCUAAAGAAAAAAAGGGUAUUGCUUCA
Peromyscus maniculatus bairdii (prairie deer mouse) is the source of this 5637-nucleotide long non-coding RNA. RefSeq lists it as uncharacterized. The record is from RefSeq and is a predicted model, not a curated record. Lineage: Eukaryota; Metazoa; Chordata; Mammalia; Rodentia; Cricetidae.